Callithrix jacchus (white-tufted-ear marmoset) is the source of this 147-nucleotide unclassified non-coding RNA. It matches the Rfam family "Metazoan signal recognition particle RNA". Rfam says of the family: The signal recognition particle (SRP) is a universally conserved ribonucleoprotein. The record is from Ensembl. Lineage: Eukaryota; Metazoa; Chordata; Mammalia; Primates; Cebidae.
GCUGGGCAUGGUGGUGCAUGCCUGUAAUCCCAGUUACUGGGAAGCUGAGGCAGGAGAAUCGCUUGAACCCAGGAGGCAAAGGUUGCAGUGAGCUGAGAUCAUGCCACUGCACUCCAGCCUGGGCCACUUAGCCAGACUCUGUCUCAA